This 402-nucleotide long non-coding RNA is filed under the name Musa acuminata (dwarf banana). RNAcentral describes it as "long non-coding RNA (MACU_LNC010833)". The record is from RNAcentral. Lineage: Eukaryota; Viridiplantae; Streptophyta; Magnoliopsida; Zingiberales; Musaceae.
AAUUUUGCAUCGGAUGAAAACCUUGGUCAUCAGCAUAUGGGGGCUGGGUUCCACCAAGGGAAAAGUUCGAAUGCAAGUACCAGUGAGUUCCAUGGGAGGAACUUGAUCAUGUAGAGGUAUGAUCGAAGCACCUGGAGAGUUGGACUGCUCCAGAGCUCAUAUUCGCUUAAGGGAGCCCGGCAAGUCAGAGGACAAGGCCGAGUAAGCGAACGUUGCUACCAAGGAAGCUAAGGAGAACAGAAUCGGUGCAAACCUUACAACGUGAUGGCAGAGGCCAUGCAUGGAAAUUGCAGUCUGUCUUUCCAUCAACCAAACAGACUGCUUGGAGAACACAGAGGUGUUGAAGCAGGGGGUCGAAAGGGGCGAGGAAGCGACGACGAGUCCAGAGGGACUUAGCUACCC